CAAUAGCGUAUAUUAAAGCUGUUGCGGUUAAAAAGCUCGUAGUUGGAUUUCUGUCAAGGACAACUGGUCCGCCCUCCGGGUGAGCACAUAGUUUGGUCUUGGCAUCUUGCUGGAAACUGUUGCUGCGCUUGGUUGUGUGGUGCAGCUUUCAGCACUUUCACUUUGAGGAAAUUGGAGUGUUUCAAGCAGGCACAUGCCUUUGGACACAGUAGCAUGGAAUAAUUAGAUUGGGCUUUUGCUCCAACUUGUUGGUUCCUGGAGCUGAGGUGAGAAUCAAUGGGGAUUGUUGGGGGCAUCCGAAUUUAGCCAUCAGAGGUGAAAUUCUUGGAUCUGCUAAAGACGGACAACUGCGAAAGCGUUUGCCCAGGAUGUUUUCAUUGA
RNAcentral lists this ribosomal RNA (381 nucleotides) under uncultured eukaryote. Its description in RNAcentral is "partial 18S ribosomal RNA". It matches the Rfam family "Eukaryotic small subunit ribosomal RNA", at positions 592 to 976 of the family's 1831-position model. The record is from RNAcentral.